CGAGAUCUAGCUUAACGGCGAGAGCACGUGCUUCGGACGCACGGGGGUCUCGGUUCGACUCCGAGGGUCUCGACCA
This 76-nucleotide transfer RNA is filed under the name Acidobacteriota bacterium. RNAcentral's name for it is "Acidobacteria bacterium (marine sediment metagenome) tRNA-Pro". It matches the Rfam family "tRNA". From Rfam's summary of the family: Transfer RNA (tRNA) molecules are approximately 80 nucleotides in length. Their secondary structure includes four short double-helical elements and three loops (D, anti-codon, and T loops). Further hydrogen bonds mediate the characteristic L-shaped molecular structure. tRNAs have two regions of fundamental functional importance: the anti-codon, which is responsible for specific mRNA codon recognition, and the 3' end, to which the tRNAs corresponding amino acid is attached (by aminoacyl-tRNA synthetases). tRNAs cope with the degeneracy of the genetic code in two manners: having more than one tRNA (with a specific anti-codon) for a particular amino acid; and 'wobble' base-pairing, i.e. permitting non-standard base-pairing at the 3rd anti-codon position. RNAcentral also lists the same sequence under 1 other name. Lineage: Bacteria; Pseudomonadati; Acidobacteriota. The record is from RNAcentral.